This 199-nucleotide ribosomal RNA is filed under the name uncultured bacterium. Its description in RNAcentral is "partial 16S ribosomal RNA". It matches the Rfam family "Bacterial small subunit ribosomal RNA", at positions 331 to 524 of the family's 1533-position model. The record is from RNAcentral.
CCCUACUCCUACGGGAGGCAGCAGUAGGGAAUCUUCCACAAUGGACGCAAGUCUGAUGGAGCAACGCCGCGUGAGUGAAGAAGGUUUUCGGAUCGUAAAGCUCUGUUGUUGGUGAAGAAGGAUAGAGGUAGUAACUGGCCUUUAUUGACGGUAAUCACCAGAAAGUCACGGCUAACUACGUGCCAGCAGCCGCGGUAAU